AGAGUUUGAUCCUGGCUCAGGAUGAACGCUGGCGGCGUGCCUAACACAUGCAAGUCGAGCGAUUCUCUUCGGAGAAGAGCGGCGGACGGGUGAGUAACGCGUGGGUAACCUGCCCUGUACACACGGAUAACAUACCGAAAGGUAUGCUAAUACGGGAUAAUAUAAGAAAUUCGCAUGUUUUUCUUAUCAAAGCUCCGGCGGUACAGGAUGGACCCGCGUCUGAUUAGCUAGUUGGUGAGGUAACGGCUCACCAAGGCGACGAUCAGUAGCCGACCUGAGAGGGUGAUCGGCCACAUUGGAACUGAGACACGGUCCAAACUCCUACGGGAGGCAGCAGUGGGGAAUAUUGCACAAUGGGCGAAAGCCUGAUGCAGCAACGCCGCGUGAGCGAUGAAGGCCUUCGGGUCGUAAAGCUCUGUCCUCAAGGAAGAUAAUGACGGUACUUGAGGAGGAAGCCCCGGCUAACUACGUGCCAGCAGCCGCGGUAAUACGUAGGGGGCUAGCGUUAUCCGGAUUUACUGGGCGUAAAGGGUGCGUAGGCGGUCUUUUAAGUCAGGAGUGAAAGGCUACGGCUCAACCGUAGUAAGCUCUUGAAACUGGAGGACUUGAGUGCAGGAGAGGAGAGUGGAAUUCCUAGUGUAGCGGUGAAAUGCGUAGAUAUUAGGAGGAACACCAGUAGCGAAGGCGGCUCUCUGGACUGUAACUGACGCUGAGGCACGAAAGCGUGGGGAGCAAACAGGAUUAUAUACCCUGGUAGUCCACGCCGUAAACGAUGAGUACUAGCUGUCGGAGGUUACCCCCUUCGGUGGCGCAGCUAACGCAUUAAGUACUCCGCCUGGGGAGUACGCUCGCAAGAGUGAAACUCAAAGGAAUUGACGGGGACCCGCACAAGUAGCGGAGCAUGUGGUUUAAUUCGAAGCAACGCGAAGAACCUUACCUAAGCUUGACAUCCUUUUGACCGAUGCCUAAUCGCAUCUUUCCCUUCGGGGACAGAAGUGACAGGUGGUGCAUGGUUGUCGUCAGCUCGUGUCGUGAGAUGUUGGGUUAAGUCCCGCAACGAGCGCAACCCUUGCCUUUAGUUGCCAUCAUUAAGUUGGGCACUCUAGAGGGACUGCCAGGGAUAACCUGGAGGAAGGUGGGGAUGACGUCAAAUCAUCAUGCCCCUUAUGCUUAGGGCUACACACGUGCUACAAUGGGUGGUACAGAGGGCAGCGAAGUCGUGAGGCCAAGCUAAUCCCUUAAAGCCAUUCUCAGUUCGGAUUGUAGGCUGAAACUCGCCUACAUGAAGCUGGAGUUACUAGUAAUCGCAGAUCAGAAUGCUGCGGUGAAUGCGUUCCCGGGUCUUGUACACACCGCCCGUCACACCAUGGGAGUUGGGGGCGCCCGAAGCCGGCUAGCUAACCUUUUGGAAGCGGUCGUCGAAGGUGAAACCAAUAACUGGGGUGAAGUCGUAACAAGGUA
This 1461-nucleotide ribosomal RNA is filed under the name metagenome. RNAcentral's name for it is "bacterial SSU rRNA". It matches the Rfam family "Bacterial small subunit ribosomal RNA". The record is from RNAcentral.